UACGUAGGCAGCAAGCGUUGUUCGGAAUUACUGGGCGUAAAGAGUGUGUAGGCGGUGCUCUAAGUUUGUCGUGAAAUCUCCCGGCUUAACUGGGAGGGUGCGGCGAAAACUGGAGUGCUAGAGGGUGGGAGAGGAAAGCGGAAUUCCUGGUGUAGUGGUGAAAUGCGUAGAUAUCGGGAGGAACACCAGUGGCGAAGGCGACUUCCUGGCCUGUUCUUGACGCUGAGGCGCGAAAGCUAGGGUAGCAAACGGG
This 253-nucleotide ribosomal RNA is filed under the name uncultured bacterium. RNAcentral's name for it is "partial 16S ribosomal RNA". It matches the Rfam family "Bacterial small subunit ribosomal RNA", at positions 524 to 776 of the family's 1533-position model. The record is from RNAcentral.